AUAUCAAUAAGCGGAGGAAAAGAAACUAACAAGGAUUCCCCUAGUAACGGCGAGUGAAGCGGGACGAGCUCAAAUUUGUAAUCUGACUAUUUCAUAGUCCGAGUUGUAAUCUCGAGAAGCAGUUUCCGCGCUGGCUGGCAUACAAGUCUGUUGGAAUACAGCGUCAUAGUGGUGAGAACCCCGUAGAUGAUGCCAAUCCCAGUGCUCUGUGAUCUGCUUUCGAAGAGUCGAGUUGUUUGGGAAUGCAGCUCAAAGUGGGUGGUAAAUUCCAUCUAAAGCUAAAUAUUGGCGAGAGACCGAUAGCGCACAAGUA
This 313-nucleotide ribosomal RNA is filed under the name uncultured eukaryote. RNAcentral describes it as "partial large subunit ribosomal RNA". It matches the Rfam family "Eukaryotic large subunit ribosomal RNA", at positions 40 to 350 of the family's 3401-position model. The record is from RNAcentral.